This 374-nucleotide long non-coding RNA is filed under the name Monodelphis domestica (gray short-tailed opossum). Its description in RNAcentral is "lncRNA (ENSMODG00000048631.1)". The record is from RNAcentral. Lineage: Eukaryota; Metazoa; Chordata; Mammalia; Didelphimorphia; Didelphidae.
ACCAUCACAGAAUCAUAAAUUCAGAACUGGAAGAGUCUCAUUUUCUAGAUGAUGAAACAGGCUCAAAGGGGUUCACUGAGUUGUCUAAGGAUUCAUAAGGAGCAAAUGUCAGAGGAAGCGUCAAGAACAGGUCAAUGCCAGAUGCACUUUUGACUCAUGGACCAGACUCAGCUUGAUGACUAAACCUAUCCAGUACCAAAAAGGACUUGCCCCAUUCCCGACCGUCUUUCUAUAGUCUACUACUUCUCGUGGACCUGAAGCUCUCUCACGAUUGGGCAUUGAGGCUGUUUCAGGAGUGAUUUUUCUAAUUCGUCACAUGUUCCUGGUUUCUCAAGGACUGGCUUGUCAAAUGUCAUUGCUGAGACUAUGAGUGU